This 589-nucleotide ribosomal RNA is filed under the name Bacillus mycoides. Its description in RNAcentral is "bacterial SSU rRNA". It matches the Rfam family "Bacterial small subunit ribosomal RNA", at positions 77 to 649 of the family's 1533-position model. Lineage: Bacteria; Bacillati; Bacillota; Bacilli; Caryophanales; Bacillaceae. The record is from RNAcentral.
AGCUUGCUCUUAUGAAGUUAGCGGCGGACGGGUGAGUAACACGUGGGUAACCUACCCAUAAGACUGGGAUAACUCCGGGAAACCGGGGCUAAUACCGGAUAAUAUUUUGAACUGCAUAGUUCGAAAUUGAAAGGCGGCUUCGGCUGUCACUUAUGGAUGGACCCGCGUCGCAUUAGCUAGUUGGUGAGGUAACGGCUCACCAAGGCAACGAUGCGUAGCCGACCUGAGAGGGUGAUCGGCCACACUGGGACUGAGACACGGCCCAGACUCCUACGGGAGGCAGCAGUAGGGAAUCUUCCGCAAUGGACGAAAGUCUGACGGAGCAACGCCGCGUGAGUGAUGAAGGCUUUCGGGUCGUAAAACUCUGUUGUUAGGGAAGAACAAGUGCUAGUUGAAUAAGCUGGCACCUUGACGGUACCUAACCAGAAAGCCACGGCUAACUACGUGCCAGCAGCCGCGGUAAUACGUAGGUGGCAAGCGUUAUCCGGAAUUAUUGGGCGUAAAGCGCGCGCAGGUGGUUUCUUAAGUCUGAUGUGAAAGCCCACGGCUCAACCGUGGAGGGUCAUUGGAAACUGGGAGACUUGAGUGC